CCUACGGGGGGCAGCAGUGAGGAAUAUUGGUCAAUGGCCGGAAGGCUGAACCAGCCAAGCCGCGUGAAGGACGAAGGUGCCAAGCAUUGUAAACUUCUUUUGUCAAGGGACAAAAUCAGGCUCGAGAGCCUGACCGAGGGUACUUGAAGAAAAAGCAUCGGCUAACUCCGUGCCAGCAGCCGCGGUAAUACGGAGGAUGCGAGUGUUAUCCGGAUUUAUUGGGUUUAAAGGGUGCGUAGGCGGACUGUUAAGUCAGCGGUAAAAGCCCGGGGCUCAACCCCGGCGAGCCGUUGAAACUGGCGGUCUUGAGAUGUCGAGAGGUAUGCGGAAUGCCCAGUGUAGCGGUGAAAUGCUUAGAUAUUGCGCAGAACUCCGAUUGCGAAGGCAGCAUACCGGCGGCGAUCUGACGCUGAGGCACGAAAGCGUGGGUAUCGAACAGGAUUAGAUACCCGAGUAGUC
RNAcentral lists this ribosomal RNA (459 nucleotides) under uncultured bacterium. RNAcentral describes it as "partial 16S ribosomal RNA". It matches the Rfam family "Bacterial small subunit ribosomal RNA", at positions 338 to 795 of the family's 1533-position model. The record is from RNAcentral.